CAAUAGCGUAUAUUAACGUUGUUGCAGUUAAAAAGCUCGUAGUUGGAUUUCUGGAGGGAGCGUCGGCCCGUAUUUACGAGUGCGUGACGUCUCUGUCCAUCCUUGCGGGAAGGCACGGCAUUGUUUUGUUGUGUCGGAUCGCAUCAUUUACUGUGAAAAAAUUAGAGUGUUCAAAGCAGGCUUUCGCUUGAAUACAUUAGCAUGGAAUAAUAAGAUAGGACUUUGGUGCUAUUUUGUUGGUUGAGCCUAAAGUAAUGAUUAAUAGGGAUAGUUGGGGGCACCUGUAUUGCGUUGUCAGAGGUGAAAUUCUUGGAUUUGCGCAAGACAAACAGCUGCGAAAGCGUCUGCCAAGGAUGUUUUCAUUAA
Molecule: ribosomal RNA, 366 nt
Filed under: uncultured eukaryote
Lineage: Eukaryota
Description: partial 18S ribosomal RNA
Rfam family: Eukaryotic small subunit ribosomal RNA
Source: RNAcentral